AGUUUGAUCAUGGCUCAGGAUGAACGCUAGCGGCAGGCUUAACACAUGCAAGUCGAGGGGCAGCGGGAUGUAGCAAUACAUUGCCGGCGACCGGCGGAUGGGUGCGUAACGCGUAUGCAACCUACCUUAUACAGGGGAAUAACCUUUCGAAAGGGAGACUAACACCCCAUGGUAUUGAUUUAAGGCAUCUUAGAUUAAUUAAAUAUUUAUAGGUAUAAGAUGGGCAUGCGUAUGAUUAGGCUAGUUGGUAAGGUAACGGCUUACCAAGGCGACGAUCAUUAGGGGUUCUGAGAGGAAGGUCCCCCACACUGGUACUGAGACACGGACCAGACUCCUACGGGAGGCAGCAGUGAGGAAUAUUGGUCAAUGGGCGCAAGCCUGAACCAGCCAUGCCGCGUGCAGGAAAGACGGCCUUAUGGGUUGUAAACUGCUUUUACAUAAGACUAACCGUAUUAUUUGGCGAAUAUACCUGAAUGUAUUAUGAGAAUAAGGAUCGGCUAACUCCGUGCCAGCAGCGGC
Molecule: ribosomal RNA, 519 nt
Filed under: uncultured bacterium
Lineage: Bacteria
Description: bacterial SSU rRNA
Rfam family: Bacterial small subunit ribosomal RNA
Source: RNAcentral